GAUGAACGCUGGCGGCGUGCCUAAUACAUGCAAGUCGAGCGAACGGACGAGAAGCUUGCUUCUCUGAUGUUAGCGGCGGACGGGUGAGUAACACGUGGAUAACCUACCUAUAAGACUGGGAUAACUUCGGGAAACCGUAGCUAAUACCGGAUAAUAUUUUGAACCGCAUGGUUCAAAAGUGAAAGACGGUCUUGCUGUCACUUAUAGAUGGAUCCGCGCUGCAUUAGCUAGUUGGUAAGGUAACGGCUUACCAAGGCAACGAUGCAUAGCCGACCUGAGAGGGUGAUCGGCCACACUGGAAGUGAGAAACGGUCCAGACUCCUGCAGGAGGCAGCAGUAGGGAAUCUUCCGCAAUGGGGGAAAGCCUGACGGAGCAACGCCGCGUGAGUGAUGAAGGUCUUCGGAUCGUAAAACUCUGUUAUUAGGAAAGAACAUAUGUGUAAGUAACUGUGCACAUCUUGACGGUACCUAAUCAAAAAGCCACGGCUAACUACGUG
This 497-nucleotide ribosomal RNA is filed under the name uncultured bacterium. RNAcentral describes it as "partial 16S ribosomal RNA". It matches the Rfam family "Bacterial small subunit ribosomal RNA", at positions 28 to 507 of the family's 1533-position model. The record is from RNAcentral.